RNAcentral lists this transfer RNA (66 nucleotides) under Polypsocus corruptus. RNAcentral's name for it is "tRNA-Tyr". The record is from RNAcentral. Lineage: Eukaryota; Metazoa; Arthropoda; Insecta; Psocodea; Amphipsocidae.
AAUGGAAUGGCUGAAGUUAAGCGAUAAAUUGUAAAUUUAUUUAUGAUUAAAUAAAAUCUUCUAUUA